GGAGGUUGCGGGAGCACAGCCUGCCCUAUGGUUUAUGACUAAUUUGCAGCCAUUUGAGUUCAAAUACUGCUGAGAAGAUCCAAACUGCAAAGAAACACCCUGGAGCACCCUGUUUAUUCCUCUAGCAUCUGAGCACAGCGGGGAGUCUCCUUUCUUCUGCUGGAGGUUGGUGUGUGGUAUGAUCUCCCUCCUCUGUUUCAUCAUAAACUGUGAAUCGUGGAACAAGCUCGAGCAGGAGACAGUCAUUCAGAAUAGCUGGGUGAUACCUAAGACAUGACACUCCAACAGGUCAUUGAAAAGCAGUUAGCCAUGUCUCAGUUACCACAUUAGAUAGUAGAUUCAACGGUGAGCAAAAGCAUCCUCCUGGAUGGUAUGUGAUGAUGACACCAUAGCUUUGAAGAGCACUUACCUGAUAGUGUGCUAUGGCAUCAUAGCUUUAAACUUUUGUCUCCACAGAUGAUGUCUAUAUUGGCCAUUACAGAGAGAGGCAUAGACAGGGAAGAAUGCAUUCCUAGCCUCAACACUGGCACCUGCCCUGUCAGCAUUAGUCUGUUAAAGAAGCCCCAUUCUUCACCAAAGCCAAGGCUCUAAAACUGAACUCAGAGUUUCAGCACAGCAGGAUGUGCAGGGUACAUCCUACAUGCUGGAUACAUCCUACCUGCUGUGGUAUACGCUGACAUCCACGUGGGGUAUAACUGGCAAGGGAUUCUUAUCCCCUGGCUUGUAAACUACAUCUGACCCUGAAGAGCUGUCCUUUGUCAGGUAUCUUAGCAUUAGUA
Molecule: small RNA, 779 nt
Filed under: Rattus norvegicus (Norway rat)
Lineage: Eukaryota; Metazoa; Chordata; Mammalia; Rodentia; Muridae
Description: uncharacterized LOC102553777
Source: RNAcentral